This 447-nucleotide ribosomal RNA is filed under the name uncultured bacterium. Its description in RNAcentral is "bacterial SSU rRNA". It matches the Rfam family "Bacterial small subunit ribosomal RNA", at positions 329 to 793 of the family's 1533-position model. The record is from RNAcentral.
GCCCAGACUCCUACGGGAGGCAGCAGUGGGGAAUAUUGCACAAUGGGGGAAACCCUGAUGCAGCGACGCCGCGUGAGCGAUGAAGUAUUUCGGUAUGUAAAGCUCUAUCAGCAGGGAAGAAGAUGACGGUACCUGACUAAGAAGCCCCGGCUAACUACGUGCCAGCAGCCGCGGUAAUACGUAGGGGGCAAGCGUUAUCCGGAUUUACUGGGUGUAAAGGGAGCGUAGACGGCGAUGCAAGCCAGAUGUGAAAGCCCGGGGCUCAACCCCGGGACUGCAUUUGGAACUGUGUGGCUGGAGUGUCGGAGAGGCAGGCGGAAUUCCUAGUGUAGCGGUGAAAUGCGUAGAUAUUAGGAGGAACACCAGUGGCGAAGGCGGCCUGCUGGACGAUGACUGACGUUGAGGCUCGAAAGCGUGGGGAGCAAACAGGAUUAGAUACCCCGGUAC